RNAcentral lists this ribosomal RNA (492 nucleotides) under Staphylococcus aureus. RNAcentral's name for it is "bacterial SSU rRNA". It matches the Rfam family "Bacterial small subunit ribosomal RNA", at positions 1038 to 1530 of the family's 1533-position model. Lineage: Bacteria; Bacillati; Bacillota; Bacilli; Caryophanales; Staphylococcaceae. The record is from RNAcentral.
GUGGUGCAUGGUUGUCGUCAGCUCGUGUCGUGAGAUGUUGGGUUAAGUCCCGCAACGAGCGCAACCCUUAAGCUUAGUUGCCAUCAUUAAGUUGGGCACUCUAAGUUGACUGCCGGUGACAAACCGGAGGAAGGUGGGGAUGACGUCAAAUCAUCAUGCCCCUUAUGAUUUGGGCUACACACGUGCUACAAUGGACAAUACAAAGGGCAGCGAAACCGCGAGGUCAAGCAAAUCCCAUAAAGUUGUUCUCAGUUCGGAUUGUAGUCUGCAACUCGACUACAUGAAGCUGGAAUCGCUAGUAAUCGUAGAUCAGCAUGCUACGGUGAAUACGUUCCCGGGUCUUGUACACACCGCCCGUCACACCACGAGAGUUUGUAACACCCGAAGCCGGUGGAGUAACCUUUUAGGAGCUAGCCGUCGAAGGUGGGACAAAUGAUUGGGGUGAAGUCGUAACAAGGUAGCCGUAUCGGAAGGUGCGGCUGGAUCACCUCC